UACGGAGGAUUCGAGCGUUAUCCGGAUUUAUUGGGUUUAAAGGGAGCGUAGGCGGGUUGUUAAGUCAGUUGUGAAAGUUUGCGGCUCAACCGUAAAAUUGCAGUUGAUACUGGCAUCCUUGAGUACAGUAGAGGUAGGCGGAAUUCGUGGUGUAGCGGUGGAAUGCUUAGAUAUCACGAAGAACUCCGAUUGCGAAGGCAGCCUGCUGGACUGUAACUGACGCUGAUGCUCGAAAGUGUGGGUAUCAAACAGG
This 253-nucleotide ribosomal RNA is filed under the name uncultured bacterium. RNAcentral's name for it is "partial 16S ribosomal RNA". It matches the Rfam family "Bacterial small subunit ribosomal RNA", at positions 524 to 776 of the family's 1533-position model. The record is from RNAcentral.